AGCAGCCGCGGUAAUUCCAGCUCCAAUAGCGUAUAUUAAAGUUGUUGCAGUUAAAAAGCUCGUAGUUGAAUUUCGGGGUUCUACCGUUGGUCGGGCUAUUGUCUGUACUGGCGUGUAGAAUUUCUACCUUCUGGGGAACUAUCAUGUUAUUAAUUUAGCGUGGUAGGAAACCAGAACCUUUACCUUGAAAAAAUUAGAGUGUUCAAAGCAGGCUUAUGUCUGAAUACAUUAGCAUGGAAUAAUAAAAUAGGACGGUGGUCCUGUUUUGUUGGUUUCUGAAUCACCGUAAUGAUUAAUAGGGAUAGUUGGGGGCAUUAGUAUUCAAUUGUCAGAGGUGAAAUUCUUGGAUUUAUUGAAGACUAACUACUGCGAAAGCAUUUGCCAGGAUGUUUCAUUAAUCAAGAACGAAGUUAGGGAUCGAAGACGAUCAGAUACCGUCGUAGUCUUAACCAUAAACUAUGCCGACUAGGGAUCGGACGAUGUUAACUUUUNUUGUACUCGUCGCGCCUUACGGGAAACC
This 520-nucleotide ribosomal RNA is filed under the name uncultured Scutellospora. RNAcentral's name for it is "SSU rRNA". It matches the Rfam family "Eukaryotic small subunit ribosomal RNA", at positions 569 to 1099 of the family's 1831-position model. Lineage: Eukaryota; Fungi; Glomeromycota; Glomeromycetes; Diversisporales; Gigasporaceae. The record is from RNAcentral.